AGCGAACGCUGGCGGCAGGCUUAACACAUGCAAGUCGAGCGGUCACUUUCGGGUGUCAGCGGCUGACGGGUGCGUAACGCGUGGGAACGUGCCCUCUUGUUCGGAAUAACUCAGGGAAACUUGAGCUAAUACCGGAUACGCCCUUUUGGUGAAAGGCUUGCUGCCGGAGGAUCGGCCCGCGUCUGAUUAGCUAGUUGGUGAGGUAACGGCUCACCAAGGCGACGAUCAGUAGCUGGUCUGAGAGGAUGAUCAGCCACACUGGGACUGAGACCCGGCCCCGACCCCUACGGGAGGCAGCAGUGGGGAAUAUUGGACAAUGGGCGCAAGCCUGAUCCCGCCAUGCCGCGUGAGUGAUGAAGGCCUUAGGGUUGUAAAGCUCUUUUAUCCGGGACGAUAAUGACGGUACCGGAGGAAUAAGCCCCGGCUAACUUCGUG
Molecule: ribosomal RNA, 435 nt
Filed under: uncultured bacterium
Lineage: Bacteria
Description: partial 16S ribosomal RNA
Rfam family: Bacterial small subunit ribosomal RNA
Source: RNAcentral